RNAcentral lists this ribosomal RNA (253 nucleotides) under uncultured bacterium. Its description in RNAcentral is "partial 16S ribosomal RNA". It matches the Rfam family "Bacterial small subunit ribosomal RNA", at positions 524 to 776 of the family's 1533-position model. The record is from RNAcentral.
UACGGGGGGGGCAAGCGUUGUUCGGAAUUACUGGGCGUAAAGGGCUCGUCGGCGGCCAACUAAGUCAGACGUGAAAUCCCUCGGCUUAACCGGGGAACUGCGUCUGAUACUGGAUGGCUAGAGGUUGGGAGAGGGAUGCGGAAUUCCAGGUGUAGCGGUGAAAUGCGUAGAUAUCUGGAGGAACACCGGUGGCGAAGGCGGCAUCCUGGACCAAUUCUGACGCUGAGGAGCGAAAGCCAGGGGAGCAAACGGG